CCCGUCCGCAGAAAAGACACAACGACAUUUUGGAUUUCGAUUUGGGGCAAAAUCAGGAUAAAAUUAGAAUGGUUAAAGAAAACCGGAAGUUCCUUUUGUAUAUUGUUGUGGGAGGGGCACGUUAGUGAGCAGCACACCUUAAACCACCGCGCCAAUUCCCAGGCAGAAGCUGCGUGGGAACUGAGCUGGUGAGUAAACCACACUUGCUGAGACGAAGCUGAUGUCGCCGUGAUUCCUUCACAACCGUCUGACCUCCGCUACAUAAACUGGUGCCGUGACUCGGAUCCAUUGAGUUAGCAGCUGCCGAUCGCCGGGGUUCGACUGUGUGCCCGCGACACCCGAGAUAUCAAGCCUUUGUUUUUAUAUUAAACUGUGGCAAGAGAGAAGAGACAGGAGACCGUUGCUUAGCCCGUGAAAUGGGUGAAACCACUUUAUUAGUCAACAGCAAGAGGGAGAGGUAGAUCUGGUUGCCGCCCAGAUACCAAAAACUCUGACCGGAAGCCAAACAAGCCUUCACAUCAAGAGCACAUCUUCCCUGAGAAUUCUGAUAGCUAAGGAACCACUACACAGCCCCCCCCCCAGAAUUACAGAGGCAGGGAACCCCACAUCUUAGGAGGUCUGAUCACCCACCCUGACCUGCUCACGGUAUCACCCACAGGAGCAGGCACAACUGGGACUAGUGCAGGAACUGAACAGCGUGGGCGACCCCCCCCUACGAGGAAGCUGGCCAAGUGGCACUGGGGCAUCUAAAUCUAAAUGGGCUGGCUUCAAAUGGUCCGGCUUCAGUGUCCUCCAUCACGGGCUAUUCUGAAGAAACGUGAUAGUGGAACAUCUUCAGGGCUGAGGGCUGCGAGACAAAGAGAGUGCCCCUUGGAUUCUACAGCUUUUGGGGUCUGGACUGUUUUUUGAGUCUUGUGCUUCUUCCAGUUGAGAGGGGCUGGACGGCAGCCUGGCUCUACAUACUGAAGCCCGAACCUCUCCCCGGUAUCUCGGCUAGAUGUCUGAAGGACUGGACAUUUGGCCUCUACAGUCACCUUCACAGACGCCUUGUUCAAUUCCACUAUUAACAGGGGGUCGAACACUGACGGUAAAGCCACAACUGGUAACUUCAGGUCAACCAGCCUCUGAAAGUUCCAGCGCACCACUCCGGUCAUGCCUUGUGCCUGGAACAGCUCAGGAGAGACUCGCGACUCGAGACUACCCUCCUCCACCUCAGGAUCACUCAAGCAGCUUCUCAGGAUAUGGAUGCGCUGGAUUCUCCAUAUCUUUAACAUUGAAGGCUUGAAAAGAUGCAGACCGUUAGGAUCUGUGGCCAAGUGGAAGUGGUGCAGGACAUCUUCCAUUCUCUGCAACAGCUCCAAAGGAUGUGGGAUUUUUAUCCUACAGUGCUCCCCGAUGUACUGUUUUGUUGGGUUAGGUGGAAAAAUUCCACAGAAUCCGUAUGCUUCUCUCAACUUCUCCAAGCCACCUUGAUCAACCACAGAGAAAGCUGCAGAGAGAAACUGGCUGAACAUGCUGCAUAACGACAACAAAUUUAUUUUUAUAUAGCGCAUUAUCACAACAUUACAUUGUCUCAAAGCGCUUUACAGCAUCCGCACCCAAAGCCCCCAGUGAGCAAGCCAAAGGCGACAGUGGCAAGGAAAAUGAAUGAGUGGAUGAGGCUCCGAAACACAUUCACGAAGAAAUCGCCUCAUGCAGUGGAACAAAUGAAGUUUAACAACAGCACGUUAGCCACGUUCCCAGAAAUCACCUCUUCCACUAUAUCCUCUGUGGUUUUCCAUGAAACACACUGCAAAUGUUCUUGUGGAGCAGGAUCAAGGACUUAAGGCAGCACAGCAAUCCCUAUGAAGAUAUUACAAGAUUAUUUCAGUGAAAAUGUAAUUUGGAUGAACAGACUUUCUUAGCAAAUCAAAUCCAACUUAACCAAAUCUAGAAACAGAAAAAUGGUGCUAAAUCUACUGAAAGCAAACAAACCAUAAGUAUUAAAACAUAUCACAGCAUUUUAAUGUGUUAAUACUUUCAGUACCCAGAUUUAAGUCAUACCUGUCCACCCACUGGUACUUUGCUUUCUGGACACCAGCAGCACUGUAGCAGCGAGCAAGACUCUCAUAUAAUGGUUCCAGAGAAAACUCUCACUCUGACUGCAACAUCACCCAGGACAAAAUCAUCCAGUUCUCAUUCAUGACUGCAUAUGAUGACAUGGUGCCAGAACUGAAUGUCACUUCCCUGGUCGCCUGCCUUCUGUGGUCACAUCUGAUGACCUGACCAAAUGUGCCCCUGCAGCAGUUGAUUGAGAACUGAUUCUUGACGUCUGCACUCCUGGAUAAGGCUGUCCACCUGGUAAUGUGCACUGACAGAGACACCACACCAGCCAUCCGUGUCUUCAUACUUCCCAAAGGCAGCAGGCAAUUCAGAUUUCUUGGCAAAUCCAGUAAUUGUUCUCUGCCCAUACAGCCCUGCCUCACCAUCCUUGAUGUUCUGAACACUGAGAAGAUACGCAAAGUUGGCUCGUUCGUAUUUAAAGUGCAGCAUUUCUGUAAGCUGGUUGGCCAUAUCAUUUGGUGACUUCCCAGUCCUUCUCAAUUCAGCCAUUACUCCUUUGCAGAUGGCUUUUUUUUGUACACGAUAAAGGCUGGAAAUAUGUUAGUGAAACGUGAAGGAAGCAUUUCUAUUGGCUGUUCAUCCAUACCAACUAUCCAUGACUGACCUUUCUCUAACCACUGUGGGUUGUCAGCAUACCAGCGUUUUCCACACGCUGUAGCGCAGUCGUGAAUCAGAUGAGGCCUACCCACACCUGCAGCAGAAGAAACUGGAGGCUGAGCACAGCUCCGCGUACAUGGCAGAAGAUCACUGCUUCAGUCUCCCCAUUAAGUCGUCAUUCUCAGGUUUCCAAAGGAAAAAUUGAUUAAGCUGGAAGUGCUUUACAGAUGGAAGAUCAAAAGUGUCAGCUCUGGCUGAGGUGGGAAUGUUAAGGUUACGCGUGGGAGGUGAGCCAAGCUACAGCCCCAUUGGUCAUAUUGGUGCUGGAGAGAAUGUUCUGUAUGACUUUGGUUUCAGAAUUCAUUAAGUCACCAAAUUUGUGAGGCAAAUGCUUAGGUUAACCAUUCCAAAUCUGUCAUGUGGCCCAGGUUACAUCUAAUUAUGAAAGGAAUCCAUAAAAAAUAAGCUUUUGCAGCUUUUUCACCCCAAACAAUUUGCUGUGAUGUACGUAACGUUCCGUGUGUCUGUUUUCAAAUGAUGUAAUACUAGGAAUGAUGGAAGCUUUUGGCAUCAGCUUCUUUGAAACUUUGUUUAACUAUAUUCUAACUUUAAAAACUAGAUAUGAACAAACUGAGUGGUUUCAGUGGUCUCCUGUCAGAAAAAAAGAUUUGUUACGUGUGUCACACCACAUUUGUACAUUUUUUUCCCUCCAUUUUCCUGAUAGAUCAGAAUCUUGAAACUUUCAAAAUGUUUUUUUUUUUAGUU
Molecule: long non-coding RNA, 3465 nt
Organism: Brienomyrus brachyistius
Lineage: Eukaryota; Metazoa; Chordata; Actinopteri; Osteoglossiformes; Mormyridae
Exons: 4
Source: RefSeq, a predicted model, not a curated record